This is a long non-coding RNA of Myxocyprinus asiaticus (Chinese sucker), 2572 nucleotides long. RefSeq lists it as uncharacterized. The record is from RefSeq and is a predicted model, not a curated record. The transcript has 3 exons. NCBI's taxonomy places the organism in Eukaryota, Metazoa, Chordata, Actinopteri, Cypriniformes, Catostomidae.
GACGCCCCGAACCUAGCGGGGUCUGUUCGAGGCAGGUUUACGUAGCUUUGGAAGGUGGAUGCUCGAGACCUGGUCGCAUGAGAGUCAGUGGGUCGCGUGCUGACUGAGCGCUUCUCCAUCAUCACUUUCAUCUUCAGCAGGUUCCCCGCAGACGACACUCUUUCUCUCUGAUGCCGUGUGGGCUCAUAAUCUCUGUGAAACAGAAAGCUCUGAACUCAUGGAACCAAGGAGUUGCAUUAAUAUCAGAGCACAGCUCUCUCAUGUCCAUCUACCAUGAAGCAGGCAUUCCAGAUUGGCUCCUGAGUGCUGGCCUUGCUGAACUACAGGAUCAGCACACCUCCAGUGCUCCUUCCAUUUGUGCUUCAUCCUCUACCACAUUGGGGGCACCUGGCACCCCUCCCUAUCAUGGCAGGCCAGAUCAAUGGUAAGAUCCAUUCGAGCAGAAUGACCGGAGGUCAGCAUCAAAGGCCCCCUGCUUGUCUCUCUGCCACCUGGAGCUCAACGAGGGUCAUGGGCUGCCUGGGCUACCACUGUCUCCUUUUCCCUUCUGCUGGCUGGGUUGCUGAGUGGGACCCAUGCAGCAUCUGAGUUGGCUUUGCCCUGGCCCAGCAGCCCACAUGGGGAGCGGGCCAGAGGUCAAGCCCAUCAGAGCACUUUGCUUCAUCUGAUGAGGAUAUCUGGUCUGGUUUUAAUGAGGCAACACUGAUUCCAUGUCUCUUUACACAUGUGAGCAGACAUAUUUAUUCUGUCAACCUAAUGUGUGUAUUGUAGAUAUAAUUCUGUAAUUUUCUUUCUCCUCACAGGAUGCAGCCUCUGAGACAUUUCCAGGUAUAUUUUAAUACUUCAAAUGUGUUUAACAAUUUAAAAUCUCAUAUAAGCCACAUUCACUUUCCUUCAUGUCAAAUAAAAUAAUCAAAUGACUAUAAUUCUGGGAGAUUUUGAACUGUUUAAUUUCAGCAGACAGAAGAUUAUUGUAGAACAUACAACAUUUCCCAUAUGAAUGCUGUGGCUCUCUUCAACAAAAUGUUGCUCAUAUGGUAAAAGAACAGGCAAUUAUUUUCAUGCAGCUGUCAAUAAACUGAACAGGCUAAUACAGCCUAAUUAAAUGUCAUUUUUUGGGACACUAAUGAAAAUAACCCAACACUGAGGGAUUUUUAAUAUCGCUGUGAAGCGCUUCAACUGCCGGAGCCCUGCAGUCAGUGACUUGAUUCUUCUAUGUCCCUUACUUCUGUGAAGAGGGAGACAGAGAAAAAGAGAGAAAAAAGGCAAGUUUGGCAAGUAGAGGAGUGAAGGGGGAGACAGAUGGCGUGAAGUCUGCAUCUCUUUGGCGUUGGGCUCAUGGUGCUAAAAUCCUCCCUCUCACACAUUCCAACAAAUCCAACCAGGAGGUUCAGGAUUAUGUUCCACUGCUCUCGAAAUGAAGCAUCUUACCAGGAUAGAGCCACACACACAUACAUACGCUCUUUCUCACUGUCUCUCUCCCUCUUUCACACACAUGCACACAUACAUUCACAUACUGUCAGUCACCCAUAACCUAUCCAGAAGUUUAAAUUUGUAUUAGUAUGUCACCCACUCUGGAGUUUAUUGGCUUGUUAAAAUAGGAAGCUUGGGGAGCUGGGGAGAGAGAACAUGGGGGCAUGACUGGAAAUAUUGCAGUGGAGAAAAAGAGACCAAGAGCCAUUCAAGUGUAAAAUCUCAUUGAGUAAACAUGGUGCCAACGCAUGUAAACAAAGUGCGUACAAUCCAUUUGCGGCAGAAAAAUAAGGAGCUUUGUGGUUAGUCACACUAGCCACAACAUUAGCCUGUGCUUCUGAUAAGGUGAUUGCCAGUUAGUCCCUAAGAGUUUGGACUAGUCUUGCAAUAUCUUUCAUUAGCUUCCCUAUAAUAAAAGAACAUUGAGUACAUCUAAUUGAAUCAAACAUUGGCAUAUACAGCAAAAUCUUUGGACUGCAUGUAAUCAGUCAUUCAACUGCUUCUGUUCCAUGCUUCACUGCUGUUUCUUGAAGCAGCAAAGCUUUAUUUUAAUGAAUCGUUAUAUUUUAUUUGUCAUUUAGCUGAAAUGUACUGCUAAUAGCUGUUGACAUAUAAAACUACCAUGUGUUCCUCCUGUCAGCCAGAUGCAAAAGGCACAGAUGGGCUUCUUUUUUCCAAAUGGAGCUCUUGAUAGCGGACAAUUAAUGUGCCUUUGACUCUCCCAUUGAUUCUGGAAAAUUUAUUCAUUGAAGGCAUAUGAUCAGCUACGGAUGAAUCUUGUCAGAAGUGCCAAAUCACAAAUGAAAUGCUUUAGUGCCUCUCCCUCCAUCCUCCAGGGCUAAGAGCUCUUACACUCUCUCCCUCUCUCUCUUUCUCUCACUAUUUCUCUAUCUCUCUUGCUCACUCUCUAGAUGGAUGGCUGAGUUCUGCCUUCUGUUUGCACUGCCAUACUAAUGAAUGAGUCAGCUGGGAAUAUGUAAUACUGUGAAAAGGUCACCGGAGGCAUGUGUAUCACAUUACUGUUAAUGAUACUAAAAAGAACAAUCUGUGCAAAUCCAUUUUUUGAAGUAAAUGUAUUCCUUCCUACUGUGAGUGAUUU